CCCUGUAAUUUAGUGGUUUUCGUUUGUUUAUGUGUUACAUAUUUGUUCUUCGUUCAUUUUUUUUUAUAUAAAUAAGGCCUUAUUUAUAUAAAAAAAAUGAACGAAGAACAAAUAUGUAACACAUAAACAAACGAAAACCACUAAAUUUCAGGG
This 153-nucleotide small RNA is filed under the name Mytilus galloprovincialis (Mediterranean mussel). The record is from RNAcentral. Lineage: Eukaryota; Metazoa; Mollusca; Bivalvia; Mytilida; Mytilidae.